Molecule: non-coding RNA, 296 nt
Organism: Pelobates cultripes (western spadefoot toad)
Lineage: Eukaryota; Metazoa; Chordata; Amphibia; Anura; Pelobatidae
Source: the annotation of a GenBank genome assembly
GGUGACUAGUUGACAGCGUUAGGGAGGGAAGGGGUGACUAGUGACAGAGUGAGGAAGGGGUGACUAGUGACAGAGGGAGGGGUGACUAGGGACAGAGUGAGGGAGGUGGUGACUAGUGACAGUCACCACCUCCCUCACUCUGUCACUAGUCACCACCUCCCUCACUGUGUCACCCCCUCCCUCUGUCACUGGUCACCCACUCCCUCCCUCACUCUGUCACCAGUCACCCCUUCCUUCCCUCUGUCACUAGUCACCCCUUCCCUCACUCUGUCACCUGUCACCCCCUCACUCUGUCA